CCACACACACUGCCUUAGCUUAGAUGACAUCCCUAAAUAUAGCCACAUGGCUUUUAGAGAUUUUUUAAUUCUGCAACUAGCAUAGGACCUGAUCUACUUGUAGCUAAUAUUAGUGAUAAAAAUUCUAUGGUAUUUUUUAUUAUUCUCAGUACAAACAAUGAAAAUUUGACAAAAACAUUCCAUAGCAUACUUUCAGGUAAAGGGAAAAAAGCUGUCAAAACUAAAAAAGGGCGAUGUGAAGGCGUUCAAGAACGCAGUGGCAGAUAUUCUAGAGUGGAAAGACAAAAGGCCGGUUAUUAUGGAAUCUACUCAUCACAAAGAUGCUAUGCAAUAAAUCACCCACAAAAAGCAGGGGGGCAGUGAAGAGGUGAUCCAGAAGCCGUCAAUGAUUUGUGACUACACGGCAAAUAUGGGAGCCAUAGACAGAGCCGAUCACUAUUGUGCGCCGUACCAUUUUGCCAGAAAAUCCCUCAAAUGGUGGAGGAAAAUUUUCUUCUGGUUAUUCGAGGUGGGGAUCGUCAAUGCUUACUUGCCAUAUGUCAUCAUAGCAAAGAAAAGAGGAGAGGAACCAAAGAGUUAUUUGCAGUUUCGAAGGAGUCUCAUUAAGGAGCUUGUGGGCAGCGUCAGGGCUCAACCAAACCCAUCGAGGAAGAGGCCACGCUCUGAGCCUGGUGACCUACACAGGAUGGGUGGCCUGUACCAUGCUAUCGCAAGAAUGGACACCAGAAAACAGGGUGACUGUGUCAUUUGCAGUGAUCGCUCCAAGCCAGGAGAGCGAAAACGCUCCCCCGUUUGUUGCGAAACUUGUCCGUCCAACCCUUCUCUUCGUGUGCCUGAGUGCUUCAACAGGCAUCACAAAGUAGCAAAGUACUGAAAAGACUUAAAUAUGGUUGCCUAUCGAAAAAUCA
Molecule: long non-coding RNA, 908 nt
Organism: Schistocerca americana (American grasshopper)
Lineage: Eukaryota; Metazoa; Arthropoda; Insecta; Orthoptera; Acrididae
Exons: 3
Source: RefSeq, a predicted model, not a curated record